AGCAGUCGCCGCGGUAAUACAGAGGGUGCGAGCGUUAAUCGGAUUUACUGGGCGUAAAGCGUGCGUAGGCGGCUAAUUGAGUCGGAUGUGAAAUCCCCGAGCUUAACUUGGGAAUUGCAUUCGAUACUUGUUAGCUAGAGUGUGGGAGAGGAUGGUAGAAUUCCAGGUGUAGCGGUGAAAUGCGUAGAGAUCUGGAGGAAUACCGAUGGCGAAGGCAGCCAUCUGGCCUAACACUGACGCUGAGGUACGAAAGCAUGGGGAGCAAACAGGAUUAGAUACCCCCGUAGUCCCUGUCUCUUAUAC
Molecule: ribosomal RNA, 303 nt
Filed under: uncultured bacterium
Lineage: Bacteria
Description: partial 16S ribosomal RNA
Rfam family: Bacterial small subunit ribosomal RNA
Source: RNAcentral